Molecule: long non-coding RNA, 1462 nt
Filed under: Anas platyrhynchos platyrhynchos (common mallard)
Lineage: Eukaryota; Metazoa; Chordata; Aves; Anseriformes; Anatidae
Description: lncRNA (ENSAPLG00000018229.1)
Source: RNAcentral
GACCAUUCAUGUGAGUCUGCUCUGGGUCAUACAGACUUCUUCAGAGCACUUCAAGUGCACGGGCCCCUCGCUUCUCCUGGCGGAUUGGUUUGUGGCUCUGCUGUGAAACGGAUCAGGAAUUUGAUCCAAUUUGGAGGAAGACACACAAAAAACGAAGUGUUUCCCUGCCAGGCUAUUUUUAAACUGGACUUAUUCCCUGCCCCAGCUCACUGCACAGACGCACCACCAGCAGCACCGGUGCCACAGAGGGACACGGGACGGGACCGCGCCGCUCUGGCACUGCCAUGGGCAGGCUGCUCUGGCAAAACCACAGCCACAAGAGCGGCUCUAAUUGCUAGUGGCCAGAGGUUAUGCUCUCUAGGGAAGGAUGAGUUGCUUUUCAGUGCCUUAAUUGCUGGCAGCAGCUCAGUUCCUCCAGAGGAGAGGAGCGAGCGUUUAUCCCUAAAGCCAAAAUUACAGUGAAGUCUCACUCUCCUCUGGCCCUGUGGGGCUGCUGACUCAGGGGGCUGCAUGAAAACAGAUGUUUCCAGAAGGGGCCACCUUUUCCAAGUGUUUGGAAAUGCAGGCCUUGGAAUCCCAAGGGGAUUUUGCCUCUGGCUGUUCAUGACAAAUCUAGCCCCGUCUGAUGGCGAACAGUACCUGAGGCAGAAGCUCGGGGACUUCAGGAGGACAUUGUCCUGUGGAGAAGACUCUCAUUCUUCUGCCACUUGCCACUGCCUUUAAUGACUUUGUGUUGGUGUCCACAAAGUGAAACUGACCGGGGGAGCCACUUCACAAUGAGAAGCAGCUGAUGCUGGCCUUUACAGCUUCAGCAAGAAAGGCUUGGUCUGAAUUGCCAAGUGGUAUAAAUAACUCCAAGUCUUUGUUACAACACAUCAGCUGAGCUUCGUGGAGGGGCUCAAUGCAAACAGCAUAGAGCCGGUGGGCCUAGAGCGUGGCUGAGUCCUGCAGCCCUUUAGGUAUCUGUGCCGGAGAAGGAGCAACACUUAAAAACAAACUGAGAUGAGCACAGCUCAGCUUGAACCUGUGGGGAGUUUUAGCAGGUUAAUUCAUUCUUCAGGUGUGUGAACUCAGUGCCGUUUGUACUCACUGAGAUAAAUACAGAAACACCAUUGCAGUCGGGAGGGGAAAGCAAGUUAGAUGUCAGCUGUGACUGUCACUGUUCUGUUUCUGCUGAUUGAAUUCUAGCACAUGUUUUAGAUCAUGGCAGAUGGUCAAGAUUCAUUUCAUUGUAAUAGAGAGGGAAAUGAGAAAAAAAUUCAGCUCAUAACACAAAGGGCUGCGUUUUCAAAAUAUCAAAGCUACAUAGGAACUUUCCUGAAAUCAGCUGGAUUUAUUGCCUAGGUGUGCUAAGUUCAUACAUGCCUCAUACAUGCAGAAAUCCCCUUGGAAAAUAGAAUUUUGAUUCCUACAUCAAUUCAUAUGCCUUUGAAAAUUUACCAGGAGCUUGUUUAUAAACCAG